Molecule: long non-coding RNA, 1254 nt
Filed under: Gossypium barbadense (sea-island cotton)
Lineage: Eukaryota; Viridiplantae; Streptophyta; Magnoliopsida; Malvales; Malvaceae
Description: long non-coding RNA (GBAR_LNC004531)
Source: RNAcentral
AUUUCUUCAAGCCACAAUUAAGGCAGAAAACCUAAUACCCCAUACUUUCCCCUCAUUUGGCCGAUUCUCUCCCCCCUCAAACACUAAGCCACACAUUCAAGUAUGAGGAAUGAUCUUUCAGCCUUCAAAUCUCUUCUUGGCUUCGAUUCAAACAAAGCAAAAAGGAGAUUUAUGGCAUAUUUUCCCGGUAAGAACUUCUUUCUUCUCUUUUUAUUUGCUUUCAAACAUUAAAACUAUGAACCCAAAAGAAUGAAAAACAAAAAAAAAAUACACAGAUUUAAAUUGAAAAUCACCUUCCCAAAAAAAUUGCUUUUGAACUUUCUAUUCAAUAUGAGUAUGUAGUAUCUCCCCCCUCUUACAAUGAAAAUAAGGCUUUUAUAUAGCCGAAAAUAAAAAGAAAAAUACAAAGAAUUUCAUUUUUCGUUCUUUUUCUUUGCUGCUGUUUUUUUUUUGCUUUGUUUUUGGUUGUCCUUGCUGUUGUGUUUGUCUGUUUCUUUGCAGUUGCGGAGGUACAGGGCCAGCUGUGGCGUACGGCUCGUGGUCGUGGAGGCGUGGACAUGGCCGUGCUGGAGGGUUGUGGCUACUAGGGAAACCCUAGGUUUCUGUUUAGCUGAAGUUGUUUUAGCUUUGGGCUGUUUGGGCCACGAGUAUUUUGGGCUAGGGUUUUAGCUAAUGGAUUUUAAUUGGGUCUUGAGUUAUGUAUUUAAUUUUAGGUUUUGGACUGUAAAAUGGGCUGAUGAACUGUUAAAUAAUAUUUAUUGGGUUUUUAUUAUUUAUUUUUUUGUUUUUGUGUUGUAAUGGGCCGGGCAAAUUUUGGGCCUUACAGCUGCCCUUCUUUGCUCAUUGUCGUGUAACGAGAAUGGAGUAAAGACUAUAAAAAGGACCAAAUUUGCCCGGUCUGGCUAAGUCUCAAAAUGUUGAUCCUCAUCUUCUCCAAAGGUAUUCUGAUGUCUUCAGGAGUGUCAAAUUGGCUAUAUUCAACUUGCUCCUUGAAAACUCGGGAACACCAAUCUGUUAUUUUUGAUCUACUCUCUGCCAAUACAGAGAUGCCAAAUCUGUCAUCUUCGAUCUGCUCUCUGCCAAUACAGAGACGCUAAAUCUUCCUAGAUUUGCUUCAACGUAAACACGUGAACGCCAAAUCAACUAUGUCUUCGAUCCACCCCUGCCAAUACAGAGACGCCAAAUCUGCUAUCUUUAAUCUGCUUUCCGCCGCUACAGAGACGACAAAUCUACUAUCUUUGAUCUGCUCUUCGC